UGUAUUCUUCGGGGCAGGGUGUAAUUCCCGACCGGCGGUGACAAGUCAUCAGAACUUGAAGUCCGUGACCCGCUUUUAUGCGGUGGAUCUAGUGAGAAUCUAGAGCCGACAGUAAUAGUCUGGAUGGGAGAAGAAUAGC
This 139-nucleotide non-coding RNA is filed under the name Oceanobacillus iheyensis. RNAcentral's name for it is "FMN sequence". It matches the Rfam family "FMN riboswitch aptamer (RFN element)". From Rfam's summary of the family: The RFN element is a highly conserved domain that is found frequently in the 5'-untranslated regions of prokaryotic mRNAs that encode for flavin mononucleotide (FMN) biosynthesis and transport proteins. The record is from RNAcentral. RNAcentral also lists the same sequence under 1 other name. Lineage: Bacteria; Bacillati; Bacillota; Bacilli; Caryophanales; Bacillaceae.